This 436-nucleotide ribosomal RNA is filed under the name uncultured bacterium. RNAcentral describes it as "bacterial SSU rRNA". It matches the Rfam family "Bacterial small subunit ribosomal RNA", at positions 917 to 1350 of the family's 1533-position model. The record is from RNAcentral.
GGGCCCGCACAAGCGGUGGAGUAUGUGGUUUAAUUCGAUGCAACGCGAAGAACCUUACCAGCCCUUGACAUGGGUAGUAUGGAUUUUGGAGACAAUUUCCUUCAGUUCGGCUGGCUACCACACAGGUGCUGCAUGGCUGUCGUCAGCUCGUGUCGUGAGAUGUUGGGUUAAGUCCCGCAACGAGCGCAACCCUCAUCUUCAGUUGCUAACGCCUAGGGCGAGCACUUUGGAGAAACUGCCUGGGAUGACUAGGAGGAAGGCGAGGAUGACGUCAAGUCCUCAUGGCCCUUAUGGGCUGGGCUACACACGUGCUACAAUGGCGGUGACAACGGGAAGCAAUUGGGCAACCUUGAGCAAAUCCCCAAAAACCGUCUCAGUUCGGAUUGUACUCUGCAACUCGAGUGCAUGAAGUUGGAAUCGCUAGUAAUCGUGGAUC